CAGAGUUCUGAAAAGUGCCUGCGCACUUGGGCUUGCCCAGUGUCGUGGCUGGGAGGGGAACUUCCUCCAGAGCCUGCUUCCCUUCACCCUGACAGUCAAGCACAUCUCUGUUCCCAGCUGCUCCGAGCGCCUGUAGCUUGGGGGAGGCCUCCCCAAGUAAGCGUUUUUCAACCUGAGACCCUAAAGAUGAACAGGAAUUGUGGAGAGAGAGCAGGAGGGAAUCUCAGAUAAAGGGAUUGACAAAACGCAAAGGCUCUGACGUGCAAAGAAAUUUGACGCCUGGCUUGCCCACCUCUCACUCCCUGUAGGAGUACAGAUGAUGGAGCUCAUGAAGAAGUUGCCAAGGACUGACCACAAACAUUGGGUGACAGGCAGGACUGGCUCUAGCUCGGCCCACUGAGCUCCCAUCUCUGAGAGGAGUAAGGCCAAAGGAAGCUAAGGCCCGGAGACUCAAGAAAAGAUGAGGAAAAUGGAUGAUAUGCAGGCAACCCCACAUUUCGUACAUACCGGGAGCCACAAAUGCAAGGAUCUAUGGGAACCGCUAAUGAGUCACAGAUCUGCAUCUACAGAGAGGGCAAAGGACGGAAAUGGAUGUCCCAUGCCGCUGGUGGGAAUGAAAAUGAAGUUGCGAGUGCGUACUCUGUCCAGGGUCCAGCUUUAGAAGUUCCUGUAACAGCCAUCUCUAGACACGGAGACUUAAUAUCCUCCUGGAAUGAUAUUUCUUACACAAGUCCGUCAUUUGAAAGGGAUAUUUCAAGAGGUCAGUCGUUAUGCAUCCCUUGUAUCUCCAUUUCCCACCUUUUUGUUCCAGCAUCUCAGGCUGUGGUCCCCGGAUUCUCCUGGCGGUUAUUAAAUUCAGACACCACAAAUCCACGUGAAGACCAAAAUCUGUCUUAGAUAAACAGAGCUUCAUCCACAUGAUAUUUUAUAACGGAGUGAUCCCAAAAGAGAAUCAGUGACAAAGACAAAAGAGGAUCAGAGAGACCAAGCGGAAGUGAGAGCUCAUUGACCUUAAGUAGAGCAAUGGAAGAAACAGCGGAAGGAAGGAGUUUCAGGGAGGCAGAGACGACGCUGCUGGGGACACUGUGAGUGUGGGCGGGCCAGGGGCCGGUGCCCUGUGUGUAUCCACAGAAAGGGGCACCGUGGGGACAGCCAGGACGAAGUCCCACAGCAAAUACCCACCUGCGAGGAGAACCUGCAGAGACACCUCACGAAGCAGAGAGCACUGAAGGCACAUUGCAGGAGGCAGAUGCGAGCCUGGAAGUGAGUGUGACCUUCACAGCGUGGGAAAGAGGCCCAUUUUGUCAUUUAUGC
This is a long non-coding RNA of Fukomys damarensis (Damara mole-rat), 1314 nucleotides long. RefSeq lists it as uncharacterized. The record is from RefSeq and is a predicted model, not a curated record. The transcript has 4 exons. NCBI's taxonomy places the organism in Eukaryota, Metazoa, Chordata, Mammalia, Rodentia, Bathyergidae.